This 521-nucleotide ribosomal RNA is filed under the name Rhinella ocellata group sp. ABGD cluster 42. Its description in RNAcentral is "partial large subunit ribosomal RNA". It matches the Rfam family "Bacterial large subunit ribosomal RNA", at positions 1835 to 2560 of the family's 2925-position model. The record is from RNAcentral. Lineage: Eukaryota; Metazoa; Chordata; Amphibia; Anura; Bufonidae.
CUUGAACUUUAUAAGAGGUCCAGCCUGCCCAGUGACUCUGUUCAACGGCCGCGGUAUCCUAACCGUGCGAAGGUAGCGUAAUCACUUGUUCUUUAAAUGAGGACUAGUAUGAAUGGCACUACGAGGGUUAUACUGUCUCCUUUCUCUAAUCAGUGAAACUAAUUUUCCCGUGAAGAAGCGGGGAUAUACUUAUAAGACGAGAAGACCCUAUGGAGCUUUAAACAACUCAGCAAUUUCUCCUAAACUCACAAAUUUCAGAAUGUUCAUUUUUUAAGAAAUAUGUCUGCAAGUUUUUGGUUGGGGUGACCAUGGAGAAUAAUAUAACCUCCAUAUUGAAUGAAUUUUUUUUAAGCUAAAAACUACCAAUUGAAGCAUCAAUACACUGACAUUUAUUGACCCAAUAUAUUUGAUCAACGAACCAAGUUACCCUAGGGAUAACAGCGCAAUCUACUUCAAGAGCCCCUAUCGACAAGUGGGUUUACGACCUCGAUGUUGGAUCAGGGUAUCCCAGUGGCGCAGCC